AGAAUCAACGCUGGCGGCGUGCCUAACACAUGCAAGUCGAACGAGAAAGUGGAGCAAUCCACAAGUAAAGUGGCGCACGGGUGAGUAACACGUGACUAACCUACCCUUGAGUGGGGGAUAACCUAGGGAAACCUGGGCUAAUACCGCAUAAUACCUACGGGUCAAAGGAGCAAUUCGCUUAAGGAGGGGGUCGCGGCCGAUUAGUUAGUUGGCGGGGUAAUGGCCCACCAAGACGAUGAUCGGUAUCC
Molecule: ribosomal RNA, 248 nt
Filed under: uncultured bacterium
Lineage: Bacteria
Description: partial small subunit ribosomal RNA
Rfam family: Bacterial small subunit ribosomal RNA
Source: RNAcentral